This 440-nucleotide ribosomal RNA is filed under the name uncultured bacterium. RNAcentral's name for it is "partial 16S ribosomal RNA". It matches the Rfam family "Bacterial small subunit ribosomal RNA", at positions 338 to 795 of the family's 1533-position model. The record is from RNAcentral.
CCUACGGGUGGCAGCAGUGGGGGAUAUUGCACAAUGGGGGAAACCCUGAUGCAGCGACGCCGCGUGAGUGAAGAAGUAUUUCGGUAUGUAAAGCUCUAUCAGCAGGGAAGAAAAUGACAGUACCUGACCAAGAAGCCCCGGCUAACUACGUGCCAGCAGCCGCGGUAAUACGUAGGGGGCAAGCGUUAUCCGGAUUUACUGGGUGUAAAGGGAGCGUAGACGGCAAUGUAAGUCUGAAGUGAAAGAUUGGGGCUCAACCCCGGGACUGCAUUGGAAACUGUGUAGCUGGAGUACAGGAGAGGCAGGCGGAAUUCCUGGUGUAGCGGUGAAAUGCGUAGAUAUCAGGAGGAACACCAGCGGCGAAGGCGGCCUACUGGACUGUAACUGACGUUGAGGCUCGAAAGCGUGGGGAGCAAACAGGAUUAGAUACCCGAGUAGUC